RNAcentral lists this ribosomal RNA (439 nucleotides) under uncultured Sutterella sp. RNAcentral's name for it is "bacterial SSU rRNA". It matches the Rfam family "Bacterial small subunit ribosomal RNA", at positions 338 to 769 of the family's 1533-position model. The record is from RNAcentral. Lineage: Bacteria; Pseudomonadati; Pseudomonadota; Betaproteobacteria; Burkholderiales; Sutterellaceae.
CCUACGGGAGGCAGCAGUGGGGAAUUUUGGACAAUGGGCGAAAGCCUGAUCCAGCCAUGCCGCGUGUGGGAUGAAGGCCUUCGGGUUGUAAACCACUUUUGUCAGGGACGAAAAGGUUCAGGCUAAUACCUUGAACUGCUGACGGUACCUGAAGAAUAAGCACCGGCUAACUACGUGCCAGCAGCCGCGGUAAUACGUAGGGUGCAAGCGUUAAUCGGAAUUACUGGGCGUAAAGCGUGCGCAGGCGGUUCUGUAAGAUAGAUGUGAAAUCCCCGGGCUUAACCUUGGAAUUGCAUUUAUGACUGCAGGACUCGAGUUUGUCAGAGGGGGGUGGAAUUCCAAGUGUAGCAGUGAAAUGCGUAGAUAUUUGGAAGAACACCGAUGGCGAAGGCAGCCCCCUGGGACAUGACUGACGCUCAUGCACGAAAGCGUGGGGAGC